AUGCUGGAUUCAGGGGUGAUCACACACAGCGUGAGCCCCUACGCGGCACCGGUGUUGCUCGUUAAGAAGAAGGACGGCACCUGGAGGUUUUGCGUCGAUUACCGCUGGCUCAAUGACGCAACAAUCAAGAACAAGUUUCCCCUACCAAUCGUGGAUGAACUGCUUGAUGAACUAGCGGGCGCCACAGUCUUCUCCAAGUUGGAUUUACAGUCCGGCUACCAUCAUAUUCGAAUGCGAGAAGAAGAUGAGGCCAAGACGGCGUUCAAGACCCAUCACGGCCAUUUUCAGUUCCGCGUCAUGCCGUUCGGCCUCACCAACGCUCCGGCAACAUUUCAGUGCCUGAUGAACGCGAUUUUCAGUAAGUACAUCCGCAAGUUCGUCAUCAUUUUCCUUGACGAUAUUUUGGUCUUCAGUGAAACAAUGGAAGAACACCUGGAACAUGUGCGCACGGUGAUGGGACUGCUUCGUCGACACCAACUCUAUGUCAAGGCCUCCAAGUGUGAGUUCGCCACCGAUCACAUCGACUACCUCGGCCAUGUGAUCUCCCGCGAGGGCGUCGCCACCGAUGCGGAGAAAACCUAG
RNAcentral lists this ribosomal RNA (582 nucleotides) under Triticum aestivum (bread wheat). Its description in RNAcentral is "partial small subunit ribosomal RNA". The record is from RNAcentral. Lineage: Eukaryota; Viridiplantae; Streptophyta; Magnoliopsida; Poales; Poaceae.